CGUGAAACCAUGGAAGCAACGAUGGAAACUGGAUGUAAGGGCAGUUGAAGCCUGUUCAAUUGACAUUGGAAAUGAGAGAUGUGAGAGUAGUAGGUAAUGACCUUGAUGGAAAUCCUGCUAUUGGAGAAUGGUAGCUGAUCGAAAGGAGUAGAAAGUAUAAGCUUAGGGAUCUACAAGAACGUAUUGUGGUCAUAGAUCAAGACCGUAAACAAUUGCGAAAGGUGAAUGAGGGCUUGCAAAAGAGCAAGGAAGAGACACACCAGAAGAUGGACAAGUUAAGUUGAUAGAUAUACUUGAAAAAAUAUGUUCUAAUUAGGCUAUCAUAUGUUUACAAAUUUCUUAAAUUUUUUAUAUCGUUUACAUGCGUACAAGUUUCAGGCAAGUGUAUGAAACUAGUAAUCAUUGAUAGGAAAUCAAAGGAUGAGGGAGAUAAAUGCAUUACCAAUUCCACUUUACAAAGAAUUUUGUUGAGAGUUCACAAUUGGAUCUAACAUUUAGACGCGACCCUAGAAAUUUCAGGCUGCAGAUUAACAAGUUGGAGUCCACGAAAGACAAGGAGAAAAAAGAUGUUGGGACCUUUUAUUACCUCAACUAAGGCAUGCCAGAGGUUAAGUUCCAUCAAUUGGAUAUUGGGGACGGGGUCCAACCAAUAUCAGACCGUGGAUUAACAAUUUGGACUCCACAAAGACGGGGACAAGCAGAAAUCGACAACUUACACAAAUAUCACUAGUAGAAUAUGGGUUUUUCAAGUCUGUUUGGAUUUUAUAAAAACGACUUCCAAGGAUACUCUUAAUGGACCCCGGCUUCAAAAGGUAGACGUUUAACAGGGUAGAGUAAACCGAGCUCUCCUCGCAGUCCUAAUACCGAAGGUUAUUUUAUUAAUAAAAAAA
Long non-coding RNA from Papaver somniferum (opium poppy), 890 nucleotides. RefSeq lists it as uncharacterized. The transcript is spliced from 5 exons. The record is from RefSeq and is a predicted model, not a curated record. NCBI's taxonomy places the organism in Eukaryota, Viridiplantae, Streptophyta, Magnoliopsida, Ranunculales, Papaveraceae.